This 484-nucleotide ribosomal RNA is filed under the name uncultured bacterium. RNAcentral's name for it is "partial 16S ribosomal RNA". It matches the Rfam family "Bacterial small subunit ribosomal RNA", at positions 30 to 507 of the family's 1533-position model. The record is from RNAcentral.
AUUGAACGCUGGCGGCAGGCCUAACACAUGCAAGUCGAGCGGAUGAAGGGAGCUUGCUCCUGGAUUCAGCGGCGGACGCGUGAGUAAUGCCUAGGAAUCUGCCUGGUAGUGGGGGAUAACGUCCGGAAACGGGCGCUAAUACCGCAUACGUCCUGAGGGAGAAAGUGGGGGAUCUUCGGACCUCACGCUAUCAGAUGAGCCUAGGUCGGAUUAGCUAGUUGGUGGGGUAAAGGCCUACCAAGGCGACGAUCCGUAACUGGUCUGAGAGGAUGAUCAGUCACACUGGAACUGAGACACGGUCCAUACUCCUACGGGAGGCAGCAGUGGGGAAUAUUGGACAAUGGGCGAAAGCCUGAUCCAGCCAUGCCGCGUGUGUGAAGAAGGUCUUCGGAUUGUAAAGCACUUUAAGUUGGGAGGAAGGGCAGUAAGUUAAUACCUUGCUGUUUUGACGUUACCAACAGAAUAAGCACCGGCUAACUUCGUG